AUGUCCGGGCUGUACGGCCAGCAGGGGUUCUCCCCUUCCAGGAACCUAUCCCCCCAGAUUAGAAGCAACCCAGAUGUCGAUAGCCAGUACUUGGCCGAGCUGCUCGCCGAGCACCAGAAGCUGGGGCCUUUCAUGCAGGUGCUGCCCAUAUGCAGCAAGCUGCUGAGCCAAGAGAUUAUGCGGGUGUCAAACUCUGCCCAUAACCCUGGAUUCAGUGAUUUCGAUAGACAUCGAUUCAGAAGUCCUAGUCCAAUGUCUUCACCAAAUCCAAGAUCCAAUCUCUCUGGCAAUGGGUUCAGUCCUUGGAAUGGACUACACCAAGAGAGAUUAGGCUUUCCUCAAGGAAACAGUAUGGAUUGGCAAGGAGCGCCACCAAGCCCUAGCUCUCAUGUCAUGAAGAAGAUUCUACGCUUGGAGGUCCCAGUUGAUUCUUAUCCGAGUUUCAAUUUUGUGGGACGUAUUCUAGGACCUAGAGGUAAUUCUCUAAAGCGGGUAGAAGCAUCUACUGGUUGUCGUGUUUUCAUCAGAGGAAAGGGUUCCAUCAAAGAUCCAGGGAAGGAGGACAAGCUAAGAGGAAAACCAGGCUAUGAGCAUCUGAGUGAACAACUUCAUAUCUUGAUAGAGGCUGAGUUCCCAGCCAAUAUUAUUGAUGCCAGAUUGAGACAUGCACAGGAAAUUCUAGAAGAACUGCUAAAGCCAGUGGAUGAGACACAGGAUAUCUACAAGAGGCAACAGCUCAGGGAGCUGGCGAUGCUAAACUCAACCCUGAGAGAGGACAGCCCUCAUCCGGGAAGCGUCUCCCCAUUCAGCAAUGGUGGCAUGAAGCGUGCGAAAACAGGCCAGUAG
RNAcentral lists this ribosomal RNA (846 nucleotides) under Triticum aestivum (bread wheat). Its description in RNAcentral is "partial small subunit ribosomal RNA". The record is from RNAcentral. Lineage: Eukaryota; Viridiplantae; Streptophyta; Magnoliopsida; Poales; Poaceae.